GACGAACGCUGGCGGCGUGCUUAACACAUGCAAGUCGAACGAAGAGCGAUGGAAGCUUGCUUCUAUCAAUCUUAGUGGCGAACGGGUGAGUAACGCGUAAUCAACCUGCCCUUCAGAGGGGGACAACAGUUGGAAACGACUGCUAAUACCGCAUACGAUCUGACCUCGGCAUCGAGGAUAGAUGAAAGGUGGCCUCUAUUUAUAAGCUAUCACUGAAGGAGGGGAUUGCGUCUGAUUAGCUAGUUGGAGGGGUAACGGCCCACCAAGGCGAUGAUCAGUAGCCGGACUGAGAGGAUGAACGGCCACAUUGGGACUGAGACACGGCCCAGAGUCCUACGGGAGGCAGCAGUGGGGAAUCUUCCGCAAUGGACGAAAGUCUGACGGAGCAACGCCGAGUGAGUGAUGACGGCCUUCGGGUUGUAAAGCUCUGUUAAUCGGGACGAAAGGCCUUCUUGCGAAUAGUUAGAAGGAUUGACGGUACCGGAAUAGAAAGCCACGGCUAACUACGUG
This 510-nucleotide ribosomal RNA is filed under the name uncultured bacterium. Its description in RNAcentral is "partial 16S ribosomal RNA". It matches the Rfam family "Bacterial small subunit ribosomal RNA", at positions 28 to 507 of the family's 1533-position model. The record is from RNAcentral.